AAGGACCUGACGACGUGUCCGCGGUCGAAUUCCGGGUAGUAUUCGGAGCAGACUAGAGUACAAGUGCAUUAGAUGUAAGAUAUGUACACUCGGACCGGGUUUGUAUAGCACUUAGGUCUUUCUCGGUACGAGAGGGGGAGAGUCCCGGGUGCGGAAGAGGGAGAAAACCUGAAGGUCAAGGGACUGCAGUGUAAUACUUCAAUGACUGAGUCAUCAAUGGUAACUUAUCAUGCCAAAUGCCAAUCCGCAUCAAAAAUGUCUUACCAUGUUUCGAUACUAUUUAUUGGCUAUUUUGUGAAGUUUUAAGGAUGGCGACUAGUUGAAAACCAGUUAUUAGUUUCGACGAGAGCACAUUAAUAUUUGGCAAAAAGACAGGGUAGUCCAAGUAUUAUAAUUUUUAUGCGAAUUUUCUCCUUCUAUUACUCGUCGGUAAUUCCCAAGGAUGUUUUACAAUUUCUACGCACAAUUUAAUCAUUUUACGCUAAUUGAGUAGGAUAUAGUAAACGGAUUAUCUUGUACAUUUCUAUGACAAUGUUGCACAAACUUCACAACGAACAAUUCAAAGUGGCUCAAGUAAAACUUAUAAAUGCCAAUAUUUUACUAUUCAUAUAAUCAUUAAUUAAUUUUUAGCAGGUAUUAAAAGGUUUUGAUAAAUUAAAAAAUAAAUAAUCAAACUUGAUGCUCUCGGUUAAUUAAGUGAAAUUUAUAUUGUGAAUUAUAAUUUAUACGUGAAGCAUGUGUAAUUUACUUAAAGAUUUUUAAUAAUUUUUUUGUGAGAUACGGACAAUAUUUCAACUUUUCAUAUUUGAAUACUAAGUAAUGUGUGUUAAUUAAGCUUUCAAUGGUCACGUACACGUAUGAUUCUAUUGUCAAUUUUAACUCAUUUAAAAAAUGUACACAAUACAAAUAUAAACAUAAAUUUUAUUAGUUGAGGAAAUUGUCCAGUUCUUUUAACAGUUUAUUUUUAUUUAUUAGCUAUUUAUAAUUUAAAUUAUAAUGUAUUUAAAAAGACGUCCAGACUUUACUGAGUGAAAUUUAAUUCUAUUAUCAAUUUACUAUUAUGAGUGAAAAAAAUAUAGUAGAAAAAGACGUGUCCAUUAAACCUUUAAGUAAGCUGAUUUUUGUUUAAUUCAUGAAUUAUUUCAUACAGUUAAUUAAAAUACACCUCAGUAAAUAUGCUUAUAAUAAAAAAGAAAGCGCUUUUUGUUUAAAAUAUAACAAAAAAACUUUAAAAAUUAUUUAAGUACCUUUAUUAAUUAUAAACAUUUAGUAACAAUAUAUUAUUUGAA
Molecule: long non-coding RNA, 1289 nt
Organism: Daktulosphaira vitifoliae (grape phylloxera)
Lineage: Eukaryota; Metazoa; Arthropoda; Insecta; Hemiptera; Phylloxeridae
Exons: 4
Source: RefSeq, a predicted model, not a curated record